UCUACCAGAGGAUAGUAGUUACUCCAUUGGUCUUAGGCG
Molecule: transfer RNA, 39 nt
Filed under: Vipera latastei
Lineage: Eukaryota; Metazoa; Chordata; Lepidosauria; Squamata; Viperidae
Description: partial tRNA-Leu
Source: RNAcentral